This 378-nucleotide ribosomal RNA is filed under the name uncultured organism. RNAcentral's name for it is "bacterial SSU rRNA". It matches the Rfam family "Bacterial small subunit ribosomal RNA", at positions 526 to 896 of the family's 1533-position model. The record is from RNAcentral.
CAGAGACCUCAAGCGUUAUCCGGAAUUAUUGGGCGUAAAGCGUACCGAUCGGUGGUUAUGUAAGCCAGAUGUGAAAUACCGAAGCUUAACUUCGGGAUUGUCAUUUGGAACUACAUGACUAGAGGGGCAAAGAGGAAGCUGGAACGAACGGUGUAGUAGUGAAAUGCGUUGAUAUCGUUCGGAACACCAAUAGCGAAGGCGAGCUUCUGGGUGCCACCUGACACUGCUAGGACGAAAGCGUGGGGAGCGAAUGGGAUUAGAUACCCCAGUAGUCCACGCUGUAAACGAUGCGCAUUCGGCGCUAGGGAGUAUCGACCCUCUUUAGUGCCUAAGUUAACACGUUAAAUGCGCCGCCUGGGGAGUACGGCCGCAAGGCUA